This 730-nucleotide long non-coding RNA is filed under the name Equus caballus (horse). Its description in RNAcentral is "lncRNA (ENSECAG00000047803.1)". The record is from RNAcentral. Lineage: Eukaryota; Metazoa; Chordata; Mammalia; Perissodactyla; Equidae.
CAAUAAUGUUUGCCUCCAGUGCCUCAGUCCCUGGGGAAUGGGCCCAGCCACCUCCUGUCUCUCUGGAAUGCUCUCCCAGCUUAGUAAGUGAGUCUCUUUUACCAAUGGACUAUGCACUUUUCUAUGUGAUAUAUCUGUGCUGGUUUCCAGAUCAGGCCAGGAAUGCCAGAUAUUGUGGGAUCUCAUCUCUCUUAUGCUGGACCUAAAGGCUUGGAUGUCUAAUGUGGAGCUCAAAUUCCCUGCACCUCUGGGAAAAGAUCCAUACCUUUGAGAUUCUCCUGGACAUGAAGCUCCGUGGCUAGGAAUUACCUCCUCAGGUGGUUCAACUGCCAACUCAAAUUGUUUUGGAAAAUGUAACAACUUUUCAGCGACAAGGAUCAUCAAACUUUCUGUUUAAGUUCAAUAAACGUCUAUUAUAAAAAUUGGACAGUAAAGAAAUGGUUUAAAUUGCUUUAUUUAAUGUAAAAAAAUAGUCUGUGUUGAACAUGUGGCAAGUCAAUACAUUAUGAUCUUUUUAUUCCCCAAGCAAUUUAGUUUUCCAAUACUUUCAAUAAUACAUUUCCUCCUGUCAGUAUAGGAGAGCCCGAUUUACACAAUAAUAGAUAUUUUCAGAAUUGCAGAAAUAUGGAAUGUAACUUUCUUAAAGCUUGACUAUAAAAUGAGUUUAUAUUUUAUAUGUGCAUUAGUGGCUUUAAAAGAUAAUUUGGGGGACUAUUUUUAUUAGACCAAC